AAUAGAUACCCUGGUAGUCCAUGCCGUAAACGAUGUCUACUAGCCGUUGGGGCCUUUGAGGCUUUAGUGGCGCAGCUAACGCGAUAAGUAGACCGCCUGGGGAGUACGGUCGCAAGACUAAAACUCAAAUGAAUUGACGGGGGCCCGCACAAGCGGUGGAGCAUGUGGUUUAAUUCGAUGCAACGCGAAGAACCUUACCUGGUCUUGACAUAGUAAGAACUUUCCAGAGAUGGAUUGGUGCCUUCGGGAACUUACAUACAGGUGCUGCAUGGCUGUCGUCAGCUCGUGUCGUGAGAUGUUGGGUUAAGUCCCGCAACGAGCGCAACCCUUUUCCUUAUUUGCCCAGCGGGUUAAGCCGGGAACUUUAAGGAUACUGCCAGUGACAAACUGGAGGAAGGCGGGGACGACGUCAAGUCAUCAUGGCCCUUACGACCAGGGCUACACACGUGCUACAAUGGUCGGUACAAAGGGUUGCUACCUAGCGAUAGGAUGCUAAUCUCAAAAAGCCGAUCGUAGUCCGGAUUGGAGU
Molecule: ribosomal RNA, 529 nt
Filed under: uncultured bacterium
Lineage: Bacteria
Description: bacterial SSU rRNA
Rfam family: Bacterial small subunit ribosomal RNA
Source: RNAcentral